Molecule: ribosomal RNA, 418 nt
Filed under: uncultured bacterium
Lineage: Bacteria
Description: bacterial SSU rRNA
Rfam family: Bacterial small subunit ribosomal RNA
Source: RNAcentral
GGAAUAUUGCGCAAUGGAGGCAACUCUGACGCAGCCAUGCCGCGUGCAGGAAGACGGCCCUACGGGUUGUAAACUGCUUUUAUCAGGGAAGAAACCCCUUUACGUGUAAAGGGUUGACGGUACCUGAGGAAUAAGCCCCGGCCAACUCCGUGCCAGCAGCCGCGGUAAUACGGAGGGUGCAAGCGUUAUCCGGAUUCAUUGGGUUUAAAGGGUGCGUAGGCGGAAUAUUAAGUCAGUGGUGAAAUCCUGCAGCUCAACUGUAGAAUUGCCAUUGAUACUGGUAUUCUUGAGUGCGCUUGAAGUAGGCGGAAUGUGCCGUGUAGCGGUGAAAUGCUUAGAUAUGGCACAGAACACCAAUUGCGAAGGCAGCUUACUAAGGCGAUACUGACGCUGAGGCACGAAAGCGUGGGGAUCGAAC